Molecule: long non-coding RNA, 1753 nt
Organism: Microplitis demolitor
Lineage: Eukaryota; Metazoa; Arthropoda; Insecta; Hymenoptera; Braconidae
Exons: 3
Source: RefSeq, a predicted model, not a curated record
AGCUAUUCACGACCCAAUAAUGGGCCGAUUCUUUUUCUUUGUAUGAGCAAUUACUGUGCGACCAUUAAUUGCUGCAAUAUCAAUAAUCAAAGUCAAAAAGAUCCUUUUUCAUUCCAAGACCAAAAUCUCAGCAACAAAUAGUCAUACAGAGACAACAAAAAAGCAAAUUGUAGCUUAAUAAAUUUCAUAACCGAACUGUGCAUUAGUUUUUUAAAAAAAGAUUUUUCCGGGCUCGUAGAGCCAAAAACCAAAACCAAAAAAUUAAUAGCAUUUUUUUUUCGAGCUAUUUUUUAUCACGCAAUAACCAUGGCUCAAAAAAUCGGUAAAAGAUCUUCAAACUACAGAAUUGAAGCUUCGAAUUUCUUUUUUUUAUUUUUCGAUACGGCCAAUUUUACAAAAAUAAAGCAUUCCAAAAAUCACUAAAAAAUUUAUAAAAUUUUAUUAUUCUUUUAAUUUUUUCGAUAAGAGUAUUAAAGCUGUCUAAUUUUAUUUAAUAUAUAUUUAAAGGUAUAUAAUAUUAUCAAUGUCUCAAAACUAAGUAUGCCAAAAUUUUUUUUAAGUUGCGUCAUGAUAAGUGAAAAAUUUAUGUAAAAGGUUUUGAUCAUCAAUAAUUUCUUACCAUCAGAACUUUUACAAAUUAAAAUAUUUAUUUAUUUAUUUUAUUUUCAAAUUUUCACAUAAGGAUUCGAACGAAAUUUGAUAUUAAAAUCAAUUAUGAUUCAUCAAAUUAAUAAUCAAUUAUCAAACAACUACGGUACAAAUCUUCUUUUAAAACUUUUUUAAUGAUACGAAAUUCAAUUAAUUGAUACCAAUAAAUAAAAAAUCGCGUGACCUUGACAAGUCCGUUGUAAAGCACAACCUCUCCGCUUCGCGUUCGAGUCGUGCAAAAUAAAAUUUUAUUAUUACUAUUUCUGAAAGAAAUGAAUUUUUAAAAAAUUUAAUUUUUCCCGCUACUAUAUUUGAGCGCCCUGCACGCGCCCACAAAAUAGUACAGACCUGAUGUUUACAUCUGUCAAAAUAAAAAGUUACUAAAUGGCAAAUAUAAUGCUGAAAUUUAUUAAAGAAACUACGCUCAACUGGGUAUUUAUAAUUACUCCAUCAAGAGUCUGACUGUCCAGUAACACUAAAGGCUAGCUUGGAUGAAAGAACAAGAUCAUUUGUUGUACGAAAAUGGAUCCAUGAUCAUAAUCACACAUCAAACGAGGAAAACACAAACGUAUCAAGUUGGGUUGACAAAUAUGAAAAAAAAAGAAGAGAGAAUCAGAAAAAUUUAAAGAAGGAAAAAGCAGAAAAAUGAUUAAGAAAAACGUAAAAGACAAUCCGGCUGGUAUAAAAAAAAUGCUUCUAUUCGAAAAUUUGACUAAAAAAAUAAACAAAAUAGAUGAAGAAGAUAUUGAAGAUGAAAAAAGUAGCGACGAAGAAGAAGACAUGCAUAGAGUGGAAGACAAAAUAGGAAAAAAUAUUCAAAUUACAGCCAGCAUAGAGACGAGAGAGUUGUCAACAACUUCUCUUGAUUCAAAUAUAUAUACUCCUCCAAGAGGAUGUGUUGAAAUUUUGGAGAGCUUGUAUGUGAAAAAAGAAUUGAUAACGAAAAUAAAUACAAAUGAUUACAAAUUUCACCACACUGACGUAGAUUUAGAAAGACUUGUGACGGCAAAAACAGGCAUAAAGCUUGAAGAAUUAUAGACCGUUAAACACUAUUUUAAAGAUGAUGUACUGAAGAAAAUAAUUGAUAUUAUAUGUAAAAAAAUUG